Mycena maculata is the source of this 91-nucleotide non-coding RNA. Lineage: Eukaryota; Fungi; Basidiomycota; Agaricomycetes; Agaricales; Mycenaceae. The record is from the annotation of a GenBank genome assembly.
GACCACCUGGCGAAAUGGUAUCGUGUCUGACUACGAUUGGGCAAGGUGUCAUCAGAUCAGGAGAUUGCAGGUUCGACCCCUGGGGAACUGA